UUAAUUAUGCCUUUACUCUGUUUUCUGAGUUGAGUUAUUUUUGCUUGUGUAUUUGAAAGUCAAUAGAAGAAAAAUGCCUCUUCUUUCAGCAGCAAGAUCCGUUCUUGUUAGCUUUGUUCUGGAGGCACAUAU
RNAcentral lists this small nucleolar RNA (132 nucleotides) under Eutrema salsugineum. RNAcentral describes it as "Brassica rapa small nucleolar RNA 775". It matches the Rfam family "Brassica rapa small nucleolar RNA 775". From Rfam's summary of the family: Name based on close proximity to miR775. Lineage: Eukaryota; Viridiplantae; Streptophyta; Magnoliopsida; Brassicales; Brassicaceae. The record is from Rfam by way of RNAcentral.